This is a long non-coding RNA of Polypterus senegalus (gray bichir), 165 nucleotides long. RefSeq lists it as uncharacterized. The record is from RefSeq and is a predicted model, not a curated record. NCBI's taxonomy places the organism in Eukaryota, Metazoa, Chordata, Cladistia, Polypteriformes, Polypteridae. The transcript is spliced from 2 exons.
UGAAGAGAAUUCUGAGCCAAUGAGGAAAAGUCGAAGCCGCCGUUGUCUGGUAAAGCUUCAGAAAAAAACAAAACCACAUGGAAAUAAAGAUUAUGGCCCCAAUGGUGCUCACUGGAACAUUCAGAAGUUCAGAAAUGCGCCUGUCACCAAUGCCAGAGCUUCAGA